RNAcentral lists this ribosomal RNA (510 nucleotides) under uncultured bacterium. RNAcentral describes it as "partial 16S ribosomal RNA". It matches the Rfam family "Bacterial small subunit ribosomal RNA", at positions 28 to 507 of the family's 1533-position model. The record is from RNAcentral.
GACGAACGCUGGCGGCGUGCUUAACACAUGCAAGUCGAACGAAGAGCGAUGGAAGCUUGCUUCUAUCAAUCUUAGUGGCGAACGGGUGAGUAACGCGUAAUCAACCCGCCCUUCAGAGGGGGACAACAGUUGGAAACGACUGCUAAUACCGCAUACGAUCUAAUCUCGGCAUCGAGGAUAGAUGAAAGGUGGCCUCUACAUGUAAGCUAUCGCUGAAGGAGGGGAUUGCGUCUGAUUAGCUAGUUGGAGGGGUAACGGCCCACCAAGGCGAUGAUCAGUAGCCGGUCUGAGAGGAUGAACGGCCACAUUGGGACUGAGACACGGCCCAGACUCCUACGGGAGGCAGCAGUGGGGAAUCUUCCGCAAUGGACGAAAGUCUGACGGAGCAACGCCGCGUGAGUGAUGACGGCCUUCGGGUUGUAAAGCUCUGUUAAUCGGGACGAAAGGCCUUCUUGCGAAUAGUGAGAAGGAUUGACGGUACCGGAAGAGAAAGCCACGGCUAACUACGUG